Molecule: long non-coding RNA, 366 nt
Filed under: Nicotiana benthamiana
Lineage: Eukaryota; Viridiplantae; Streptophyta; Magnoliopsida; Solanales; Solanaceae
Description: long non-coding RNA (NBEN_LNC015610)
Source: RNAcentral
CACACAGCAACAUCGAGUUCAGCAACAAAGAACAAUAGUAGAAAACCAGUAAUGACCAGUAGAAUAACCCAGUGACAAAUUUGGAAACAAAACAGAAAAUCUCAACGGAAAUAGCAUCCAACACUAGUUUUUAAAAAUCCACAAAAUUAUAGCAGAACCAGUAGAGAAGUAGCCAAUGACCCAGUAGAAAACUCAGAAACAAACACUUGAAGAUUCCAAGGAUACAAGGGAAUAAUAAGCUUCAGAUUUUUUUUCAGGUUUUAACUCUCUUUUGACUCUCAAUUUCUCUUGGCCGAUUGUUCUUCUUCUAAGUUUCAAAUGACCCUUCCUUUUAUCUAAAACAAGACCUACUUUCAUCAUUAUUCC